Molecule: ribosomal RNA, 728 nt
Filed under: uncultured Planctomycetota bacterium
Lineage: Bacteria; Pseudomonadati; Planctomycetota
Description: bacterial SSU rRNA
Rfam family: Bacterial small subunit ribosomal RNA
Source: RNAcentral
GCUGNAGCACGUAGGUGGGUUUGUAAGUCAGAUGUGAAAGCCUUCUGUUCAACGGAAGAAUUGCAUCUGAAACUACAAGUCUUGAGUGUAGGAGGGGAGAAUGGAACUUCUGGUGGAGCGGUGAAAUCCGUAGAUAUCAGAAGGAACGCCGGCGGCGAAAGCGAUUCUCUGGCCUAUUACUGACACUCAGUGUGCGAAAGCUAGGGGAGCAAACGGGAUUAGAUACCCCGGUAGUCCUAGCCGUAAACGAUGGGCACUAAGUAGUGGGAAUUACCGAUGUUCUCUCUGCCGUAGCUAACGCAUUAAGUGCCCCGCCUGGGGAGUACGGCCGCAAGGCUAAAACUCAAAAGAAUUGACGGGGGCUCGCACAAGCGGUGGAGCAUGUGGCUUAAUUCGAUGCAACGCGAAAAACCUUACCGGGGCUUGACAUGUUAGAAGUAGGAACCUGAAAGGGUAACGAACGGUAUCCAGUCCGUAGCUAUCACAGGUGUUGCAUGGCUGUCGUCAGCUCGUGUCGUGAGACGUUGGGUUAAGUCCCCUAACGAGCGAAACCCUUGUUUUUAGUUACCAGCGGGUUAUGCCGGGUACUCUAGAAAGACUGCCGUCGUCAAGACGGAGGAAGGUGGGGAUGACGUCAAGUCAUCAUGGCCCUUAUGCCCCGGGCUGCACACGUGCUACAAUGGUCGGUACAAACGGAAGCGAAGCCGAGAGGUGAAGCGAAUCCAAGC